UACGAAGGGGGCUAGCGUUGCUCGGAAUUACUGGGCGUAAAGCGCACGUAGGCGGUCUUUUUAAGUCGGGGGUGGAAAUCCUGGAGCUCAACUCCAGAACUGCCUUCGAUACUGGAAGACUUGAGUCCGGGAGAGGUGAGUGGAACUGCGAGUGUAGAGGUGAAAUUCGUAGAUAUUCGCAAGAACACCAGUGGCGAAGGCGGCUCACUGGCCCGGUACUGACGCUGAGGUGCGAAAGCGUGGGGAGCAAACAGG
RNAcentral lists this ribosomal RNA (255 nucleotides) under uncultured bacterium. RNAcentral's name for it is "partial 16S ribosomal RNA". It matches the Rfam family "Bacterial small subunit ribosomal RNA", at positions 524 to 776 of the family's 1533-position model. The record is from RNAcentral.